Molecule: unclassified non-coding RNA, 223 nt
Filed under: Hevea brasiliensis (rubber tree)
Lineage: Eukaryota; Viridiplantae; Streptophyta; Magnoliopsida; Malpighiales; Euphorbiaceae
Source: RNAcentral
ACGGGAGUCGCUGAUCCGCGCCAUGGGGCUAUGGGGUGACGAUCUGGCGUUCAAAAUGGCAGCCGCGUUGCCGCCGCUGCCGUCGCGGCCGCAAUCGCUGCCCGGCAUCGAGACCGAGGCGGUUCGCCGUCACGUCGAUUUGCAGAUCGGGCGGAUCGAACUCGAUGCGCUGGCAAAAUCCUGGGGGCUGACGCAGGCGACGCGUUUCAUCAACGUGCUCGAU